Molecule: long non-coding RNA, 1411 nt
Filed under: Lepidothrix coronata (blue-crowned manakin)
Lineage: Eukaryota; Metazoa; Chordata; Aves; Passeriformes; Pipridae
Description: lncRNA (ENSLCOG00000015411.1)
Source: RNAcentral
GAGCUGAUGGGCACAGUGACCUGCGCAACAUCGACAGCGCCGAGGAGAGCACAGACACGGAGGAGACGGUGAAAACCCACAUGUCGGAUCCCGAGGGGAGCCAGUAGCCGGACUGGGAUGCUGUGGCCUUCCCGUGUGGCCAGUCCUUCCCAGCUUGUGUUCAUUAUUUCUUUUGAGGCUUCCAGCCAGGCACAACGCGAGGUGCCUGCUCCUGGCACGGCCAUCCCCGGCCACCGGCAGCCCCGUGUCCCACCCCGGCAGCUGCCGGCCGGCUGGGGCGAGAGAAGUUUUUGUGUUCCAAUGUGCUCGUUUUCUUUUUCCUCCUGUUUUCAGACCUAGGGAUAAGCAGAGGUGGCCGGGGGAGGGAGGGGAGGAGCAGAAACAAAAGAAAAAGGACCAUGUCCCAAAGGAGCAACCCAAAUCCCAUCUGCCUUGCUGGCAGCACCUCCUCACCCACAGGGUGCUGUGGGGCACAGAGAGAGCAGCCCAGGGCUCCCACCCCCAUGGCACAGGUCACAUCUCAACCGUCAGACCCUGCUGGGAAUUGGUGCAGCAGGCACAGGUACAGCCCGUGGCAGCUUUCUGACCCACCAUAGGAAGGAGGAACCACCCUAACCCAUCUCCAGGAGGUUUUCGCGGGAUUUUGGGAUGGUGCCAAGCCUAGCUCUGAUGCGAGCUGUGUGACCAGCAGUGGGGCAAUGCCAGCCCAAUCGCUCCCAUUCACCCCUACUCCCAAAUGUAUUUUCCUUACUGGUUUUCCACGGGCUGUUCUUGUCCAGGCAUCGUGUUUGCAGUCAGUAGGGCUCCUGUGAGGAGGGCCCCUCACCUGCACCCGAGGAGUCCUGGUCCCCCCGUGCUCCCCAGCAUCACAUUUCGGUUCCGUGUCCCUCAUUUCUUGGUUGUCCUUCUCUCACUGGUAGGAACUCGUUCUGUAUUUCUAAUUUGCUCUGGUAAAAAGAGUGUAUUGUGCUGGAAAGAAAAAUAAUUUGUAUUUAUUUUCUCUGGUUAUUUAACUCUGGUGCAGUUUGUAACUGUCUGAAGUGCUCAUUUAAUUUUUGUACCUAAUUCUGUGUGCUGCCGGACACAGUCCCUGGCUUUCUUGGAUGCUGCCUUUCCUGCAGCUCUGCUCUGUUUCCCAGUGGAAAAUACCCAGAAUAUUCCCUACCAGCCCACCACGGUGCAGCUGGGCAGACAGGACUGGAUGCUCUGCUCCAUCCCCAGGAACAACCAGAUCCCAAGGCAGCACCCAGGUCUACCUGCACCCCUCAAGGAAGGACAGAGGGAAUAGAGGGGGGGUGACCCCAAUCAUGGAAGGGAGGGACUAGCCCUUAGCUAGCAGAGGCCCCAGCAGAGCCGUGCAGGCAGAAGACUCACCAGAAAAUAAAUGAUUUAUUACUAUGAAAAAAAGCCA